GAGAAGGAGCUCCUCCUCCUCCUUCUUCUUCCUCCUUCUUCCUCCUUCUCCUUCUCCUUCUUCUUUUCUUCUUCUUCUUCUCCUUCUCCUUCUUCUUCCUCCUUCUUCCUCCUUCUCCUUCUCCUUCUUCUUCUCCUUCUCCUGCUUCUUUUCUUCUUCUUCUCCUCUUCCUUCUCCUUCUCCUCCUCCUCCUCCUCCUCCUUCUUUUACUUCUUCUUCUCUAU
Molecule: long non-coding RNA, 224 nt
Filed under: Hordeum vulgare
Lineage: Eukaryota; Viridiplantae; Streptophyta; Magnoliopsida; Poales; Poaceae
Description: long non-coding RNA (HVUL_LNC010091)
Source: RNAcentral